CCCAGUCGUCGUGGAUAAGCCCGCCGUCCGUCCCGACACAAUCAAAUACGUACGUACUACGUACUACUGCCUAUAGGAAGCUAAAUGGUAAGCUUGACUUAUACUAGUAUCUCUUAUACUACCGCCGCUGCCGGUGGUGCUGCUGCUUGGGGAUGUCAUCUUGGAGCCCGGCAAUGGCUUCUGGCAAGUGAUCUCUAGACUCCAAAGGGGAUCCCCAUGUCCGUCUGUCUGUCUGAUGAUAAAACUCAAUGGCUCGUCCUCGUCGGAGCGAGGGAAGCCAUUGUCGUCCCACUAAUUGUUCCGCCGAUCGGCUCGGUCGGUGGGAUCCUUGGUUCUCUGAUCUGUAUCCAUCCAUGUGUUUGCCUGGGGUUAAGACAAGAGAGAGAGUGCCUUCGCUCCAGCAUGUACCAUUUGACAUUGGUUGAUGGAGAGGAGCAUAUUAUUUCACCUUCAUCCUCUGUUGCUGCCGCUGCUUAUUAUCUAUCCUUGAGGGAAGAUCUAUCUAACGUUAUGUGUACAGUGAUCGAUCAACGGGGAGAGUGUCCGUCUUUUGUUGCUGUUGAUGUGGUAGUUUCUUUCUUGUGUCGGCUACGGGUUGGAUUGGAUUGGAUUGGAUGGUGCUCUCUCAGCUCACUCUCGUCCAAUCCGUGCAUGUGAAAAAUACGGCUAUCUAUCUAUCUAGUAGUAUCUAUCUAUCCUGUGUGGUGAUAUAUGCUUCUAGUCCAGUCCAGACAGUAGUAGUCUAGGCUAGCAGUAUAAAUUCUCUUCCAACUUUUUUGUAUCUUUCUCUCCCUUUUUGAUUGUUGUACUCUGAUGAUCCUUAUGUAUACACAUGUUUGGACUUUGGACUGCGAGUGCUGUAACGCGUGUGCUUGGUUGAUCCGUCCAUUCCGGGUUUUUUUCCCCCUCCACAUGGGUGUCGGUGAAGAAUGUGGUACUGGUAAAAGAAGACGAUGCCAACAUUUCGAACCAAUUAUGUUGGAUAUGAAAGGUUGUUUCCCUUUCUUUGAUUUUCAAAUACUACUAAUGCAGAGUAGCACGGUACUCUUGUCGUAGGGCUUUGGUUUGAGGUGAUGAUGAUGGCCGUUUUGUCCAUUGCUCCUCGCGCCACGUGGCGUCGUCCCUGCGUGCCUCUAGGCGAAAUUGGGGCAGCUACCCUAAUUCUGUGGCGGGUACUUGGGUGGAACCAGGUAUGGAGGAGGUGGUCUGUCGGCGAUCGGAAAGUGAUCUGUUGCGUCCCGUUCCGGUGGGCACUGCGUUGCGUGCCCCCGUUGCAACGCGAAUGGACCGGACCGGGUCAUUUCUCCCUUGCUUGCUUCUGGUUGUUGCCUUGGUAGGAGGAGUAGCUGGUGUGAUCUGAUCACGCUGCUGCUGGUGCUGGCUCUGGCUCUGGCUGUGGCUGGUGUGAGUGAAUGUGACAUUAUUCUGCAGCGAGUGCGUGCGUGCAAGUCAUUCUUGCACGCAGGAGGGUCGUGCGUGCUUUGGCAAUGGCGUACUGCAGCUACCCAUUUCGGGCGCUCAGCCGUGCGGGAGAAGGCGUCUCGUACGGUAUAUAGGAUCAGAGAGAGACAAAUGGCUGGAGCAAUGCCCCGCAGCCAGCACGGGCGUUUGAUCCAAGCAGCUGGCGGCUACCCUGUGGCCGUGCCAGUGUGCAAAACAGCACAGCCACAUCUGUGUUGCAGUGUUGCGUUUUCUGCUGGGAGUUGCAGUGUUGCCUAGCUGGUGUGGCGCGAUGAUGAAAGAAGAGAGAGAGGUGAGGAAGACAAGGGGUGGCAUCAUUUGCGGGGCGGCAGCGGCAGCGGCAGCUAGCCAGCGUCGAAGGGCCAAGGGCUGGCUUUCUCGUGCGCUUUAAAGUCACGGAGCGCAGCGGUUGAAAACAUUGACGCUCGCAAGCAAAGGUGGCGCAAGUCUCCGGAAAAAGACAAACGGGUCCUGCUGCGCUGCCCUGCCCCGUGUUCUCAUUUACUGCCACUCUGCAUUGUAUGUCCGCCCCGGCCAUGGUGCGGUGCGGUGCGGCGCGGCGGCGGCAUCCAUCCGCGUCUGUUUGCGGCAGCCGGGCGGCCGGCCGGCCUCGAUCGCGGUGUACAAAGUCAAGGCUUCGCGCACCAGCGCACCACGUCCGACGGGCAAAGCGCGGCGUUUUUUGGAGUUUCCCCGGCGGGCGCGCUCGUUCACUUUCGUCUUCUCCGUCCACUGUCCAACCGCCUUUGCCUCGUCUUUCCUUUCCUUCUACUGCUGCUACCAAUCCUGUCACUGCCCCGCCGGUCGGUGUCACUCGUCGCUCGCCGUGUUGGUCUCUUCGAAUUGUUUCUUCUCGGACCGACCGGUGCCGGUGGGGAUUAAAUUGGCAAAAUGAUCUAGACAUGGAUGGUAAUUCUUUUCUCUUCUUUUAUGGUGCACUUUGGCCCUGAGAGCGAUUUUUGCCGCCGUUCCAUCUCCAUCCAUGCAUCAGAAAUAGCACAGCUGGCAGUGUGUGGAAGGUCCGCGUGGCCGUCCUUUUAAUGAAAGCGUGUGGCGUGGCCAGCCUCAUCCACUUCCAACACUCGUCCACAUCUGGGCACGCGGCGCUCCCUCGCCGGCGACCAGGAACCCUAGCAAGCCACCACCAGGGGGGUUUUCAAAAGGGAAGGGAAGGGGGAAGCUCAGCGCAGGCGCGAGCUCCUCCUCCGCCGCCUGCAAGAUGUGUCUCGCCAUCGGAGCGGCAACGCCUGUACAUACCAGUCCACGAGACGCGGUGGCACUGGCAGUACCGCCGACCAUUGCAGUAUUCGGAUGUCAGCCUGCCGCACGGCUGGCAUCUGGAUUCGCAGCGGAUCCCCAUUCCGGCAAUGCCACGCACGGCGCGGGCGCACAACGAAGAGGUUCGUUGGCGUCGCGAGGCCCUCACUCCGGAGCAGCAGGCGAUGCGUGCCUACGCGCCAGACUCCCCCAACUGGGAGCACUGGUUCCCCCUAAAGCACGAGGAGGAGCGCCGCCGGGGCGUCAUGUCGACGACGACGUGCCUCCUCCGCCGCUCGAGGUUCUGUCGGAAGAGGAGGAUGAAGAGGCGGCCUACCAAGCCGCUCUCGAGCUAGCCCUGCAGCACGCGCUGAAGGCAAGCAGGAUCGAGGAGGAGGCCCGAUGGGAUGGGUUGGAGCACGUCCUUGCCUUGUUGGCGGCGGGGGACUCCGUCCACGCCCCGCUCUUCGUCCCGCCUCCGCCACCGCCGCCGCUGCCCAUCGUCGAGCCCAAGACGGAGCCGGAGCCCAUGCGGGUGCAAAAGCGCCCGCUGCCUCCGCCCAUUUGGCCGGAGGAGUCCUACACCUAGACCCGACGAGCUACGCGAGUGGGUGAGCGCGCCUCUGAUCCACUACGUGCGCGACACCGGAGGAGGAAGGCGGCCCACCUUGAGCGCUGGAAGGCGCACUGGCUCGCCAAGGAGGGGCCGAUGGCGUGCGGCGGAUACGCUGCGAUGAUAAGGCACCGCGGCUUGAUGAGGGGGAGGGGCGCGCCCGGCGAGCCGCAAUGCCGGCGCCCCAGCACACGCCAGAGGAGGCUGCCCUCGCAGCCUACCCAGCGGCGUUCGGGUGGACUGGCCCGGCUCCCGUCUUCAUCGACCUCACCGGCGACAAUGGCGGCGGCAAGGGUAAGGCGGAUGUCUAUGGCAGCAUGCGGGCGCAAUUUUUUGUAUGUUUUAAUUAAUGUUUAAUUAUGUUUUAAGUGUACUUUGGCUGGCGGUUGAUCCGGAUGUUUUAUUUAUGUUUAUUUCUGGGACGUGUUGUUUUUUUAUGCACAUAAAUUUGGGUCGGCCUCUCGUUAGACCCAAACAGGUAAAAGACAGACAAAACACGGGUAUGUUUGGAUCGGACCGUUGGAGUUGGUAUUCUGUCAUGUCUUCUUCGUGGCGCAUGAUUAACCGGCGCAAGAAGGCCGAGAUAUUAUCCGGGAGGUGUGCGUUGCCGUCUUGGUAGUAUACCAGACACGAACAGUGCUAAAACAGUAAUGCCAUGUGUUUCGCUCUGGGCGGUACAAUUAUGCACAAGGGAAGGUCGUACCGAAUCCAAAUCUUUCUGCGAGAAAUAAUCCAGGCCCAUUCAAUUUUUGGCUGGCUGGCCGGUACUCGUGGCCUCUGCCUGGCCACGUGUAAAACGCUCUUUCCUUGGCCAAACCUAACACUCCACCAGGCUCAUUUAUUUGCGUUUGUACGUACGUACUGCAGCCGGCGACGUCUAAUUAAGCGGCUCCGACGGACAAAUCUUCCCCCUUAUCUCCAGACCUGGACAACCCAGAAACCGACACUCGGAUGAAUAGUGAGCCGUACGAUCUAUCUACCACUUGCUUCCAGUAACAUUUACUCCUGUACUACUUCCUCCGUUCUGAAUUAUUUGUCUAGAUACGGAUGUAUCUAGACUCAUUUUAGUGCUAGAUACAUCCGUAUCUAGACAAAUCGAAGACAAGUAAUUUGGAACGAAGGGAGCACUAGUUAAGAGCAAAUUUUCACUUCGUUUUUGAUAAAGGGGGUUUCUCACUUUCUCCAGACCCACUUGUCUUAGAAUGAGGCAGCAGCCACAGAAUGUUUUACAGCGCUCAGACACUGAUCGAACUCAUAGACAAGCCUACGGGGAAGAAAACAGAUGACAGCAUGACAAACAUGUUCAAGCUUCAGUUCUUUGCAAGGUCCGGAAAGAAGCCGCGCCCCUCUUGAAGACGUUUGGUCGUGAUUCUUGGGCAUCGAUCGUUGCUGCUCCUGCUAACUCUGUGGCCUCGGCGGAUAUCCCAGUGCGGCCUGCCUUGGAGAUGCAGGCUGAGUUAUUGCGCUCUGAGCUCCUUGAUAUGGCUUUCUUCCGGUUUGAGGAGACGGUCCAGCCUUUGCGUGAUGUCGUUGACUCCAUGCAAGGUUGGAUGUUGCGGAUGGAGAGCUUCAUGGAGCGAGUUGAGUCUGCACUAGGAGGGCUCUCCCUGGCGCCGUCUGUGUUGCAGAGUGCUCAUGUGUUGCGCCCUUUGAUUGUGCCUCAUGGCAGCUUCGAGGUCGAGAGGGGAGACGAGCUUCCUGGUUGUUUCUCCCCUCGUGCUAGAGCCAGCUCGCCGCCGUCGGCCUAUGAGGGUCUAGGCAAUGAUGUGGUUGUGACUCCGGUGCUGCAGAUCAUGCCUGAGCUUCGGAAGCUGUGUGGAGGCUCGGUUCUGCCUCUGUCCGUCGAACAACCGAAGGUAGACCCUCCUGAGAUCUCAAUUGUGGCUUUAUCGCCAGCGUCACCCCUAGAUUCUAGCCAGAUACUUGAUGCCGAGGAGUAUGGUGAUUUUGAUGUUUCAAUCUCUCAAUCUCCUAAGUCCAUUGGGUGUAAGGCGUCAACCAGUCUACCUCUUGGUGUCAUGGAGCAUGGAGUUCUAGAUGUUGCUGAUGUUCCCUUGUUUGCGACCAUGGAGCAGGUGAUGCCAACGCGUGACAUGACCAUUGAGCCAAGUGUGUUGGCACCUACUCCAAAUCCAGAUGCUCUCUUCGCGAAGGAACUUUGUGACUUGCUCGCUAGUGUGGAGGUUGCUAGACCUGGUUUGGGCAGGUCGAUUGCUUGCCUCUUGAUGGGGACACCAAUAAGGGGCAAACAAAAGAAGGUGGGCAAAGGAAAGAGUGGCGCCAUGGGCAAGGCGUCUCUCGCUGCUUGAUGGAUGACCUUCGAUCUCUCGGCCCGUCCGCUUUGAUUGGGUUGUCGUUGAGGGUUGGGAGGUGCCUGAUGUCUUGUGUCGAGCUGUUCUUGUCGGGGGUCUCUUGGCGUAGUAGCAAUAUCGGGGUUUGUGGAUGUUGUGUAUUCGAAGAGUCUGGGAGGGGCCGCAUGUGCUGUUGUGGGGUUUCUUGCCAUGUGAGGAGUUAGUCUGUGCUUCAUUGGUAUUGGUUUUUGCCCGGUUUUCCGUAAAUUAACUGGGCAAUUCUCUUCUUCUUAAUUAAUCGAUGAUGCAAAAUUUUUGCCUCCGUUUAAAAAAAAAGACUAUUCAGCGGCCGCGGACUAGGUGGAGUUAGCCUGUAGGAUCGCUCGUCGUUGCCCGUCCAUCAUCUUCAUGGGCAGGGUGAACCCAAGGGAUCCUCAGAGGUUCGCCUCUUCGACGAUGCAGCAGCAAUAGACAUCGCAACACGAGGGUGGGUUGCAUUCUGCUAAAAUCCUUCACUGAUGCAACAACUUGCCAACAUGCAUCUUCAUCUGUCCUAACCUUGCCCUGGAAGAGUUUCUCGCUACGUAAGGGCAACUCUAACCGAUCCCCUAAACGUUUAUGGAGGAUCCAGCGGAGUAAAGUUGGUGGAGGAAAAUUUUUACUCCACUAAGUGUGACCGCACAUAGCCAUAUAAACUCUAUAUACUUAGUGGAGUAAAAGCAAAAUUGUGUAGAUUUUUUGUCCUAGCCGCAUGAACUUCACGCAUUACACAAUAUAUAUCAUAAAAAAAUUCAAAUUAAAACAUGCAUAACAUAACCGUCAUUAUACAUAGUUUCCUCAUCGCGUUUUUUAAAUUAAAACAAGCAUAGUUUAUCCAAAAGGCAUCACUUAAAACAUAAAUGUUUGAUCCAAAAUCACCACAAACAUAACAUAAAUGUCUCCCAUCGACAUGCACGAACUCAAACGAGGUGGUCUCCGAAGAAAACAUCAACGCCGCCGCUACCACGACCAUCCUCUCGGCCACCAUCACCUCCAUCCUCUCGGCCGCCGACACCAGCACCAGCACCAGCACCAGCACCAACACCACCAUCACCAUCACCACCCGCUCGGCUACCAACAAUCACCGAUCGGCAGAAAAGUCAAAAGUUUUUUUUACCUUGUAGGCAUUUACUCGACCACUUGGCGGUCGCGACCUUUCUUGCCGUUCGGCUCCGCCGGAGAAGUGCUAGUAGAUGUCGCCGAUGAUGAUGCACGAGGCGCCGGCUGAUGGCGGGACGCCGUUGUCGCCUUUUUCUUCUUCCUCUUCGCGGUCUCCUUGGCGAGGGUCGAUGUCGCCGUCGUCAGUUUUCUUGCUCAUUUGGACGUAGAGGGAGCGGCGGGAGGACGGCGCGCCGUCACGGGAGAGGCGUUCACCACCGGGGCGGCCUUUACCGCUUUUGCAACCGAAGCUUGAACCCGGUGGACUUUUUUUUAUCCCCAAGUUCUUCUUCGGCGCGGGCGGCAGUGCGGUGGCCGAUGGGGUGGCGGUGAGGUCCAGGGUAUCCAUUUCGGCGGGUGGUUCGAUCAUCGGUACCGGCGGCGGGGCGUGGAGGCAGCUGCGGAGGAAAAGAGGAGGCGGGAGAGAGGAGGCGCCGCUUUUUCUCAGUCAAGUGCAUGGUGAGAUAUUUAGGGAGAUUAGGGGGGUUUUCGGCGGGGGAGGAUAAUUUAUCCUCCGCUAACCGUUUUAGGGGAUCAAAUAUGAAAGCAACUUCAAACAUAUUAUGCACAUCAUUCUUUUUCGAGGACAUCCAUUUUAAGCGACAUCGAUCAUCACAGACGUACUCCCGCCGUCCCAUAAUAUAAGAGCGUUUUGUAAGCUACUCCCCCCGUCCCACAAUAUAAGAGCAUUUUUCAAGCUAUGCUAGCUCGAAAAACACUCUUAUAUUAUGGGACGGAGGUAGUACAUAACAACAGAAAAUACCAGACAAACUUGACAAAAUGACUUGGGUAACGACAAACUCGAAAAACUAUUGUUGGGCAAACUCAUUUCCCCACGGAGUAAGGGCAUCUCUAGUGCCGACCCUCAAACCACCCGCAACUAUCCGGACCAUGCGAUCCAGAUGUAUUUUGCCAUAGAAGGCGGUCCUCUAUCGGUCUGCUCGACGGUCCAGAUGCACAUUUUUCCGCAAACCGGAAACAAACUAGGGGGGCUCUGCGGGCGUCCAGACAGCUGCCACGUCCACUUCUGACCACCUUGUGUUAGAGCAUAUUUCUCUCUAAGUGGUUUUGGUGAUUGAUGACAAUGCUUUUGCGGAUUAAUCGUGUGCAUUGAGCAUUUCAGAUAUUCCUUCGUAUGGUAUGAGACGGUUUCUACCCCUUGGUGUUUAAAAGAGAAGACGGUGUUUUUUCCUUUGUUUCAUGUUCGGUGGACUUGAGUCGUAGGAUAUAUCGUACUAUCAAGAGGGGGUCCAUAUCGGAAAGGUUUGGGUGGAAUCAACACGUACACAACUCCCUUUCACACCUAGUUCUUUCCUGCUUCUACGGAGUGUCCUUCCAUGGUGUUGGAGUGGCUCAGGUUCAAGCCAGCAGUAGUACUGCCUGUGUAGGCAGGCAGUAGUACCGCUCCAGUACCGCUGUACUACCGCCUCAGUUCGGGCCUCGGGUUUCUCGUGUCGGGUCUAGCGGUAGUCCCUAUGGCAUUGUCGGAAUCGGUGCUCCGUGGACCCAACACGGUUCAAACUCUGGGGCAUGUGCAAAGAUCUACCCUAGCGUCAAACUCAAGCUCAUCCUCCCCAUGGCUUGGCCUCGUUGAGUUCAUAUGAGCGGGGAAGGAAGAUGAACAUGGGGAUUUACCCAGGUUCAGGCCACCUUGCAGUGUAAAACCCUACUCCUGCUUUUGGUGGAUUGGCCUCAUGAGGAGGCUGGGGAUGAACUAGUACAGUGAAUGAGCAGCCAUGUGCGGACUGUCGUGAUUAGGAUGGAUCGAUCCUUCUCUACGGUGGAGGCUAGUUUAUAUUUAUAGUGGUCUUGGUCCUCUUCCCUCAUUGCUCAGGCGGGAAGGCAUUCCACAACGACCAAUUUUAAAAGGGGAUAAGAAGUACAUCUUAUCCUGACGAAAGGUGGUCUUCGCCUGCAAAGCUUCUGGCUGUGACACAGUGGUGGGCUCGGCGAUGGCAUCCGUCUUGCCGAGCCCGCGGUCGUGGUCUCGCUGCACCGGAAUGGAAACCUUUGGGGCCGACCUCAGGAACCUGCGCCCGUCCUUGCUUCCUUAGCACCGAAGAGGAAAUUGUCCCCUCUGCACCCGCUAGCACCCGCCUGACCUUCGUCGUCAUGGCUCAUGUCAUUGUGGCCUCAUGAGGCGUGGUACCUGCAUAGAGAUCUCCGCUCCUCGGGAGGCUGGCUUGGGGAGCUGCUCCUCUGGAAUUCUUGGCGUCGCUCGCCAUGCGAGGCCGGGGGCCCUCGCGAGGGUCUUCCUCAUGUAGUCUUGCAUCUGGGCCUUGCCGGAUCGUCGAUGAGGCCACGCGUUGGGCCGCAGGCAGGCAGGUCUGGGUACCCCCGAUCCCAGAAUGCCGAUAGUAGCCCCCGGGCCCAAGGCAUGCCUGGACUGGCUUUGAGGUGAAGGCAAGGAGCGAAGGGUGGAACACUGUGGGCCCCAAUCGCCUGCAGGCCAAGCUUGACGUGUGGCGCAUGAUGGGCCACGGACGCCCCCACUUCCCCACAUCGCCUUGUCAACCGCCCUGGCUGAAUGAAAGCCUGACGCGCACUGCGGAACCAUCAUUGCACAAAGGUGAGAGGGCGUCGGCUGGCCUUGUCCGACUGCCUAUAAGAAGGCGAGGGGGCAAUGCCCCAUUCCAUCUUCGUCUCCUUGCCCGUUUGCCCCCAACCUCUACCGCGACGACCAUGGCACCAGUGAGGAGGUUCACUGCAGAGGUGAAAGGCAAGGCUCCCCACAAAGCAUCGGGUUCGCCACCGCCCAUGAGAGGGCGCGAUCGCCCUCACAAGUCUUCGGCAAUGCGAACAACAUCAUCUCGGGGGCACGGGUGUCCUCCACUGGCGGUUCGCACCGGAUUAGGCGGCCGCGAGAAGAACCCCUCCGGUGGGGGUGGCCGCGGAAGCUGCGGUGGCCUUGGCCCAGGGGGAGGCGUGUGGUGGUCGUCCGACCACCUCACUCGCGGGCCCAUUCAUAUGACUUGGCCCGCGAGUUUGUGGUGUGGAUGGAGGGUCCGCUGUCGGUAUCAAAACCGAAAGAUCUUGGGUAGGGGGUCCUGAACUGUGCGUCUAAGGAUUGAAGGUAACAGGAGGCAGGGACACGAUGUUUACCGAGGUUCGGGCCCUCUUAAUGGAGGUAAUACCCUACUUCUUGCUUAUUUUACUUUAAUGAGUAUAGGGGUUACAAGAGUUGAUCUACCUCGGGAUCGUAGUGGCUAAACCCUAGAUGUCUAGCCCGUAUGAUUGUGAUUAUUCUCCUAUGGACUAAACCCUCCAGUUUAUGUAGGCACCGGAGGGACCUAGGGUUGUACAGAGUCAGUUUAUAGAGAAAGGAAGAUGCAAAAUCCGAACGCCAAGCUUGCCUUCCACGCAAAGGAGAGUCCCAUACGGACACGGGGGAGGGCUUUCUGUCUUGUAUCUUCGCGGCCCAUCAGUCCGGCCCAUAUCGCAUAGCCUGGACGCCCGAUGACCUCCUAGUCCAGGACUCCCUCAGUACCCCCUGAACCGGGCUUCAAUGAUGAUGUAUCCGGCGUGCAGAUUAUCUUCGGCAUUGCAAGGCGGGUUCCUUCGUCGAAUACUCCAAAGCAGUCUUUCACACACUGAAAGUGCAUUAUAUCGACUAGAGGGGGGGGGGUGAAUAGGCGAUUUUUAUGAAUUCUUCACUAAGGAAUUUGCCGGUGAGGAAAUUCCUUAGUGAAGAACUACUUGCAGCGGAAUAAGUACUCAGAAGUAAGCAUAACAGGAUACAGACAUAUUCAUCAUGAUGAAAUGAAGACAAGCUAAGAGUACUGGAAGCGUAAGCACAGGAUAACACAAGAUGAAGACAAACAGACUGAAGAAAUUGAACUGAGGAAAUUGAGAAAGUCUUUAGUCAAGGUCUUCAAACACAGAUAAGAACAAUAACACAACACAAUAAUGAGGAAAUGAAAGAGUUGUGGAAAUAGAACCAGUUAGGUUGGUGAAGACAAUGAUUUGGUAGACCAGUUCCAACUGUUGUCUCAAUUGUACGUCUGGUUGGAGCGGCUGGGUAUUUAAACUCGAGGACACACUGUCCCGGACACCCAGUCGCUGAGCACGCAGAUCAGGACACCAAGUCCUCACCGUAUUCUCCUUGAAAUAAGGUCACACAGACCUCAUCCAAUCACUCGUGGUAAGUCUUCAGGCGACUUCCAAACCUUCACAGACUUCGGUCACUCAGCGAUCCACAAUUCCUCUUGGAUGCUAUAGACCAUGACGCCUAACCGUCUGGAAGAAGCACAAUCUUCAAAGGUAACAAGCAUCGGAUCCACGCAGGAUCAAUCUCUUCAGUGAUGCUCAAUCACUUUGGGGUUGGUAGGUGUUUGGGUUUGGGUUUUUCCUCACUCGAUGAUUUUCGCUCAAAGUCCUCGGAGGAUGGGUUGCUCUCAAAUGACAAGUGUCAGUUUCUCUCAGAGCAGCCAACCAGCUAGUGGUUGUAGGGGGCGGCUAUUUAUAUCCUAGGGAGUAACCCGACCAUGAUAAGACAUAAAUGCCUUUGUCUGAUAUAACCGUUAGGUGGAUAAGAUAUUUUGGGACAGCUGGCGCGCAGCACAGCAACGGUCGGAAAUUUGAUUCUCAAAUUCCUCAGGGCUAUCAUGUUCCUCACUGUGUAGGCAAUCUGCACUGGCGAAUUCCUAACUCCUUAGUCAGAACAAAUUCCUCAGCGACCAGAAGAACUUCGUCUCUGUCACUGAAGAAAGUGACUGAACUGUAUGAGAUUUCCAAAGGCUUCACUCGAAGGGUUUGGUAGGUUUUAGGAUUUUGAGUUGAGCAUCACAUGGAAAAUUUUCCUUAGUAUUUCCUUGACCCCCUUUAACAGUACGAUGUUUCCUAUGACUCAAGAAAGAGAAAAACAAAACUAUGAAAACGAAAGUCUUCAAGCUUCAUAUUCCUCGCAUAAAUAUCAAGUCUUCACGGACACACCAAUUUCUUCACUUUCAAAGUCUUCAGGAAAGUCUUCAGGAAUACCAAAAUCUUCAGUCGAAGAUAUUCAUUUUUAGGGGUCGACUUUCUCUGUAAAUAUCAAACUCCUCAUAGACUUAUAGACCUGUGUACACUCACAAAUGCAUUAGUCCCUUAACCUAUAAGUCUUCAAUACACCAAAAUCACUAAGGGGCACUAGAUGCACUUACAAUCUCCCCCUUUUUGGUGAUUGAUGACAAUAUAGGUUAAGUUUGCAACGGGGAUAAACAUGUGAAGUGUAAGCACUGAUAUAACUGAUAUUGAGGAAUUUUAUUGCAAGAUAUAGAGGAACUCCCCCUGAAGAUGUGCAUAGUGAGGAAUUUGCUUUUGAAGCAAUGCACACUUGAAGAGUUAAAUCAUGGAGAUCUCCCCCUAUAUCUUGUAAUUCAUAGACGCAUUUGACAUAUAAUAUGAAGAAUUUGAAAUGCAUGAUGAGAUAUGGUGCCUGAUGAAAUUCAGCAUGCGUGCAAUAAUAUUAAUGAGGAACAAGCAUGCAGAAUAACGCAUCAAGAGUAUCAGAGCACAGUGCAUCAAAAGUAUGUCACCAUCGGGUUUAAGUUUACAACUCGAUCCAAUAAAGUUUCAGAAGAACGAGAGUUGUAACUUAGCAAAAACGCCCAUAUAAUAGACCCGCUUGAAGACUAACUCAAAUUUCUCCCCCUUUGUCAUCGAAUGACCAAAAGGAUCGAAACUGAGGACUAACGCCCCUGAAGAAUAUCAAGUUGAUGGAGGAGCGUCAGCGUUGUUGGGGUCGGUUGUCGUAGUCGGGCCUGCCGCAGUGUCAUCCAGGUCUUCAUUUUCAUCAGUGUCGUGCGAUGAAGAAUAGGAGCUGGCCACCAAGGAAGGAACCUUGACCUUCUUGAAUUUCUUCGGUAGAGGUGCAAACCAGUCAAAUUCUUCCUUAAGACCCAUAUUCUUCAGAUCUGCAGCGCUGUAGACAUGAGAUAGAACAACCCAGGUACGGUUGAAGGUUUCAUGAAGGUAGUAUUGGUUUUUCUUCACUGCAUUGUGUGUUGAUGUCAUGUUGUGAAGAAUUGAACCAAACUAACGCUUGACCCAUUUAUGAUUGCGAUCAACCUUCUAUUGAAGACUGAGGAGUAACUCACGAUCAGUCAUCACCCUGGGUGCUGUGGCUUGAGGAUUUUGCUUAGCGGCAGAAUCAUGUGUGGCAGAGUCAUCAUUGGUGGAGUAGGAUGCAGCCUUGCGGAAUUGACCAUCCAAUGGACGAAUGCCUUUAUCUAUCACAGCAAUUGCCUUGCCUUUGUCAUCAACUGAGGAAUAUGUCCGUCAGAGGACUUCAAUUGGAGGCAAGUAGCUGCCAUGGUUCAGAGUAUCAGCCUUGUAAUUGAGUGAAGAACUUGUCCUGAUGAAUUUCAUAAUCCAUGGUGCAUAAGGCUUCAGCUCAAAUGGUGACAUAGCAAUAUUCGCCAGAGUCCUCAUGAAGAAAUCAUGGAAGUUGACGGGAACGCCAUGAAUGAUGUUGAAAAACAUAUUCUUCAUGAUGCCAACGACUUCUUCAUCAUUUGAGUCGUGGCCUUUGAUAGGACUCAUUGUCUGCGUCAGAAUGCAAUAGACAGUCCGAGGCACAUAGAGUAAUUCCUUGACGAGGAAUUUGGUUCGAGGAGUCUGUCCUAGCUUCAAAGGCUUCAUCAGCACUUGCAUGUAAUGAUUUGAAAGCUCAGGUUCACUGUAGACGCAACGUGGACCGUCAAGGGGAGGACUAAGUGGUAAGAUACGAAGCAAUUCGGUAGCCGGUGCCUUGUAGUGAGUAUUUUCAGACAUCCAGUCCAGCACCCAUGAAUUCACAUCUUCAGAAUUUCCUGUAAUGCGCAGCGUCGCAAAGAAUUGAAGAAUGAGUUCUUCAUUCCAAUCACAGAUGUCAGUGCAGAAAUUUUACAAUCCAGCAUCGUGAAGAACACUGAGGACUGGCUCGAAGCACGACAGAGAUUCCAUGUCCACAUGAGGAAUAUGUUCAUGAUUGAAGACUUUGUCUUUGUUGAACAGUACUGAGGAAUAGAAAUUUGCUUGACUAGCAGUCCAGAAACGCCUCUUCCUUAUGCGAGUAGAAUCAUAGGGGUUGUAAUCUGUGAAGAACACAUGUUCGCUGAAGAAAUCUUCAGCCUUGAACUUUUGCUUCUUUGAGAAUGGAUCCUUUGGCUUGGGCACUGGUGUGUCAGUGAGUUGCAUCACAACCUCAGGAAUCGCAAUCUCAGGUUCUUCAGGCUGAGGAAUUUCUGGUUCCUCUCCAGUGGCAGUCUGCGUGUUCAAAGGAUCAUCAACAGUAGUUUCUUUAGCACUAGCGGCUGGAAUGUCUUCAUGCACAGAGGAGGUGGGAUGAGUCUCUUCAGAGCCCAAUUGAACGGUUGGUGCAGGGCACUGAGGUAUUUGUUGAAUCGGAGUGAAGAGUGGAGAAUUGGGGUGCUGACUUUCCCAAAAGUCAUCAUUCAUCAUGGGCGUUGUACAACCAAUGUCCAUGUCUUCAUCUUCAUUUUCUUCAACGCCAGCCUCUUCAGUUGUGAACUGCGGCAGUGGCGAGGAAGCAACAGUUGUUGAAGGGAUUGCAUCCACGUCAAUUUCUUCAUCAAUCUGCUCUGACGAAGCAGCAUAAUGAUUUUCUUCAUCAGAUCCAUUGGGGAUCACAUAUUCUUUACCAGAAGGAACAAGGUCCUUUGAUGGCAUGGUGGAAAUUGGAAGAUCAUCAAUUGGAUUUUCAAGUGAGCUGGUCAUAGGCUUCAUCUUCUUUGGAGCUGAAGAUUCUGAAGCACUUGAUGAUUUCCUUUUCUUCACUACAGCUCGCUCUGCAGCCUUGGUCUUCCUCACAUAUGAUGCAGAUGGAAGGGUAGGAGUUGGUGUAGGCGCAGGAGGAGCUGUGGAGUCUUGUUGAAUUUCCUCAGGCGCAACUAAUGCAGUUGCCCUGACUUCUUCAGUUUCUUCAGGCGCACCACUACUGGAUGCCCUGGCAAUGUCUUCAGCGGCUGGAAUGGAACCAUCAGCCCUGGAACUAGCAUUUUCAUCAGUAGCCUGAAAGUCAUCAACGGUGCUGGCAUGUUCUUCAGUUGGCUGAGCAGAUGCUUCAGCUUGAGGAAUAUCUUGUUGCGAUGGGGCUGCAACAUGGGUGAACUUCUCAGUCAGUUUCACAAACCUGACUUUGGCUCCUUGCCAAUCAGCAUAGUAAGCAUUGAAAUCAUCGUUGAGGGCUUUGAUUUCAGCUUGGAUCUUGAGGAGUUCAUCAGUUGUCAUAUUGACAACGUAUUUCUUCAGGAACUUCUCCUUUUUGAACUGAGCCUUCUUGAUCUGCCUGGCCUUUUCAAAUUUCUAUUUCUCUUUAGUGAUAAAAUGGGUCAGCAUGUGACUUUGACCAGGAGUCAGAUUGAAAUCAGGCAUAGGAGUAUUUGGAUCCUUGUGCCAGAGAUCAAUGUAAUCAAGGAUCGCCCCUGGAUCCAAAAGCAGUGGCACAUUUGUGCCUUUGGCUCUAGCGGCCCUUUCUUGUUGGUCUCUGAUGAUUUCUGCAAGUUCAUCAUCAUCAGCUUCAUCGUCAGAUGGCACUUAGAAGGCAACCUAUUUCUUCUUCGGACUUGGCCGAGGACCUCGACCAGCCGUUGCCUUUGUCUUCAGUAGAGUGGGGCCUGAUGAAGAUUUUGGUGCAGCUGAGGAACUUGCUGAGGCAGCAGAGGCAAUAGAGAUGCCUGUUGUCCAUUGGCACGUGGCCAGAUGUACAGGUGUUGAGGACCUUGCAAGAUCAGCUGAGGACUUUGGAGGAGAAGCAGAGGACUUUGGAGGAGCAGGAGCAGCAGGAGGGAUUGGCCGUGAGGGCUUUGAAGAUUCUAGUCGUGAGGGCUUUGAAGAUUCUGGCCGUGAGGGCAUUGCUAAGGAACUUGGCCGCGAGGGCAUAGUUGGUGAAGCACUUGGCUUGUGAGCGGGCUUCUUUGCCAUUGAUUUUCUAGGCUUGACAGAGGCCUCAGUGGCAGUAGCAGCAGCAGAGUCUUCAUUGAAUUUCCUCACUGCUUCUUUGGCAUGUCUUGUCAACUUGGCUUGGCGUUUGGCCCAUUCUUUAGGAAAAUCCUCACCAUGCUUGAUGCUGGUGGGGUCAGCUACUUGGCCAGGUGCCAAUGGAGCUCUUGGGCAUGGAGGAUUAAGUGCGAAUUUCUUCAUAUACUUUGGAGUUACAUAUCUGUACUCCCUCCAUUCUCUUGCCCAUCUCCUUUCAAUCUUCUGUAUGCGCACCUUGCGCUGAUUUUUAUUUUCCUUUCCGAACUUAGCUUCAUCAGGUGUGCAAUAGUCAGCAUAGAUGGCCUCAGGUAUUUCAAAAGCAGUCAUGACCUCAGGCUUCUUUCCUCCUUUCUGCGGCUUCUUACCGUCAGCCAUAUUCUUCAGAUGAGGAAUUUGAACAAUCGAAUUUUCUGAAGAAGUGUGCAACUUUUCUUCGAGGAACGCUGCAAAUGAGUUAAUUUGAUGAGAACCUAGUGAUUCAGUAGCGGACAUGAGUACCUGUGAACAGAGUAUAGUUGCGAGGAAUUUGGAGAGGUCAUAUGUGUUCUCAGAAGGUUUUUCAAAAAGAACAAGUUUGAGGAAUUUGACCAGAUGAGCCUUGAAGAAUUUCACUAAGCGUUCUCUGUCUUAGGUUCCAGAGUUGUAUAGAUCGAGGAUCCACACAACUAGGGAAUCUUGAAGAAAAAAUGAUGCUUAGAGAAACGAAUCAAGAACAGUUGACUAGUGAGGUGUUUUGUGUGUGAGGAUAUGAAGAAUAAAAUACCUUUGUAGAUUUUGUGGUGAAAUUUCGAAUUAAAAGAGGGUAGUUGUAACGCCCUCGAUGCGGCUAUAGCUCCCACGUGUCGAGGCACGACUUAGAGGCAUAACCGCAUUGAAAGCAAUGUCGCAAGUCAGGCAAUCAUUACAACAUCCCAUGUAAUAUAUAAUAAAAGGGGGAGAUAACAUAGUUGGCUUACACUCGCCACGUCACAUCAGAGUACAUAAAUAACAUUCAUCAAACAAAUCACUCAUGGCCCGACUACGGUGCCAAAAUAGAAAAGACCCCCAACAUGCGACAAGGUCCUGAAUCGAUAACCCCAACUAGGCACCACUACUGAUCAUCUGGAAAGGACACGUAGUAUCGCUGAGAGUCCUCGUCGAACUCCCACCUGAGCUCGUAAUCGUCAACUGGAGCGGAAUCACCUGGACCUGCAUCUGGAGUUGUAGUAUCUGUGAGCCACAGGGACUCAGCAAUCUCACACCCACGCGAUCAAGACUAUUUAAGCUCAUAGGAAUGGAUAAGGCAAAUAUAUGUGGAGCUGCAGCAAGCGACUAGCACAUGUGGUGGCUAACUUAUACGCAAAAGAGAGCGAGAAGAGAAGGCGAAGCACGAGCGAGAAGCUAAUGGAACAUCCUGCGCAAGCAUAACUCCAACACCGUGUCCACUUCCCGGAGUCCGCCGAGAAGGGGCCAUCACGGUAACACACACGGUUGAUUCAUUUUAAUUAAGUUUAGUUCAAGUCAUCUACAACCGGACAUUAACAAAUCCCAUCUGCCCAUAACCGCGGGCACGGCUUUCGAAAGAUCAAUCCCUGCAGGGGGGUCCCAACUUAGCCCAUAACAAGCUCUCACGGUCAACGAAGGAAUAGACCUCCACCCAAGACACACCGAUCAGACUCGGUAUCUCGGUACAACAAGAUGAUUCGACAGGUUAAAACAAGUCCAGCAACACCGCCCGAAUGUGCCGACAAAUCCCGAUAGGAGCUGCACAUAUCUCUUUCUCAGGGCACACUCAGAUGAGCAAUCCGUACAACUAAAACCAAACCUUGAGUUUCCCCGAGGUGGCGCUGCACAGGGCUCUAGUUCGGACCAACACUCAGAGGAGCACUGGCCCGUGGGGGCUAAAAUAAGAUGACCCUCGGGCUCCGGAAACCCAAGGGAAAAGGGGUUAGGUGGCGAAUGGUAAAACCAAUGUUGGGCAUUGCUGGAAAAGCUUUAAUCAAGGCGAACUAUCAAGGGGUUCCCAUUAUAGCCCAACCGCGUAAGGGACGCACAAUCCGGGAAUAUAACACCGGUAUGACGGAAACUAGGGCGGCAAGAGUGGAACAAAACACUAGGCGAGAGGCCGAGCCUUCCACCCUUUACCAAGUAUAUAGAUGCAUUAAGAUAACAUAGCAAUAUAAUGAUAUCCCAACAAGUAAAUAAAUGUUCCCACGAGGAACGGCUCCAAUCUUCACCUGCAACUAACAACGCUAUAAGAAGGGCUGAUCAAAGCGGUAACAUAGCCAAUCAACGGUUUGCUAGGACAAUGGUGGGUUAGAGGUUCAACAUGGCAAUUGGGAGGCUGACAAGCAAAAGGUAGGCAUCGUAGCAGUGGCAAAGCAAAAGAGCGAGCAAACUAGCAUAGCAAAGAUAGUAGUGAUUUCGAGGGUAUGAUCAUCUUGCCUGCACAGUUGUCAGAGUUGACUGGAUCCUCACAAGCAAACUCAACGGGCUCCUCGGUAGCGAACUCGUCUCCCGGCUCUACCCAACAAGACAAACAAGCAACAAGGAUACAAUCAACCACGGGCAAGACCAAGCAAUAUGAUGAAAUGACGAUAUGCUAUGCGGGAUGCGAUGCGGGAUGCAGAAUGCAAGAUAUGACAGGAAAUGCAUGAACCUGGCAUCAACUUGGAAAACCAAGUGUGCCACUGGAUAGAGGGGAUGAAAUCGCUUGAAAACGAUAUAAAGAUCAUAGGAAUCGGAGCUACGGUUUGGAAAUGGCAAGCGUUUUAAGAUAUGACACCGGUCUGCGAUUUACAGCAAGUAGGCAUCUAAAUGCAACUAAAUGAACAUGCUACAGCCACCAAACAUGAAAACAAAAUACAUGGCAGCGAAGUACACAAGAUGGUUGACAAAACACUAGCACUGAGCCAUAGGCAAAUUCAUCCACUAAGAGGUUCAAACAAGCAUGGCUAAAACGCAAAUGCAAAACAGAUUUCAGACUUAGUGAAAUUAACACUAGUCUGAAAUUUCAGAUCACGAAGCUCUCUUCGGAGCAGCAAAACAACAUGAUAGGAAACCUGAACAUGACAAGUAAGAACAUGGCAUGGAGCUACUCAACAAGCUUAAUAAAACACCCAAAGUGACCUGGGGCCAAAAGGGUUCACAAAAUACUCUACCGAGCUCACGAACAUCGCUCGAACACAAUCAGUUUUCAGACUUAGUGAAAACUGAGACAUGCUGAAAUUUAACUCACGAAGGCAUGUAAACGAGCUCGAUGCACUCACUACGGUGCAAGUCAUGGCAAGGAAAGCAUAUAACCAGCAAGAAGGCACACAGUGCUAGCUACACAUGGCAAGAACAAAGGCAUAACAUGCAUGGAACACUAACGGUAGCAUCGGCGAAAUCGCAAACAAGUUAACGAUCUGCCCAGAUUAACAACGAAGCAAAAGUUGAGCUCGAUUGAGUCAACCUAGAGCACUCCACAAAUGCCAACAAAGACAUGGAUGGAUAGAGCAUAACUUAAAUAUCAAAACUCCCUUACUGAUCAUCCUCAAAAGAGGCACGGAUCACUAGGAAACAAGCUGGACAUAUAGCAUCAUGAACUAGAAUAUCCCAGACUUAGUGAAAAUCACUAAGUCCCGGAAAUCUGCAAUCUCAGGUACCCUACUUCGCAAGCUUGCACAAGACAACACACACGUCCUAAAAAUGCAUGGGUGGCACCUCUGGAAAGAAGACAAAAUGCUUCACAAAACAUCCCAAAGGGGCACAGGCAUAUCAUGCACGAAUUAAUUAUAGCAAAAAUGACAAAAGUGCAUGAUGAACUAACGGAUCUGCAGAUUAACUCACGAAGCCUCCUUCUACCAGCAUUUUGGGCCUCAAGAUGACCUCAAAUGCAAAUGAUGCAAUGGAAUGAAAUGAUGUACAUGUCGAGACGAAGAUUUUGACAUAUCAUACGCCUAAAACGGAGCUACGGUUGCGGAGAUACAAGCAGUCAAAGUUUGCUUAAAAAAAAUUACGGGGAGAGGAAAAAGUCAACCCUCAGUUUAGAUCCGAGAUCUAGGGUUCGGGCACUGUAGCAGCCGGGGUCGGGGCGCGCCUCCCGAGGCGACGCCGGCGAAGGCGGGGACGGCGGCCGGCGGGGGCGGCGUCCUGGUGGCCGGAACGGCGGCGCCGGGCGGUGGCGGAACCGCGCCCACCGGAGACGGCAGCGGGGCGGAGCGGGGUCGGCGCGGCGGCCGGCGGGGACGCGGCGACGAGCUCCGGUCGGGGGCGCGGCGGCCCGUGGCGGCGGCGGCCACCGGCGCCGGAGGUGGCGGCGGCGGACGUAGGAGGAGGCGGCGGAGAGGCUGCGGGCCGGGGAGGCGUUGGGCGGCGGCGCGGGCCUCGGGGGCCGGCCACGGGCCUCCCGGGCCUGGCGGCGGGGAUGUGGUCCGGUGCCACGUGGCGGCGCGGGAGUGGCGGCGGAGAAAUGUCCGGCCGGGUCGGACGUGUCCGGCUCGGCGCGGAGAUGUUUUUUUUUUUUGAACUAGGGUUUGGACGGGGAAGACGAGAUCCGAAAUGGAGGGGGGUAUAUAUAGGCAUAAGUGGAGCUAGGAGAGUCCAAAUGAGGUGCGGUUUUCGCCCACACGAUCGUGAUCGAACGCUCUAGGACAUGGAGCAGAGUUUGGUGGGUUUUGGGCCAAAUUUGGGGGGUGUUGGGCUGCAACACACACGAGGCCUUUUCGGUCCCUCGGUUAACCGUUGGGGUAUCAAACGAAGUCCAAAUGACCCGAAACUUGACAGGCGGUCUACCGGUAGUAAACCAAGGCCGCUUGGCAAGACUCGGUCCAAUCCGGAAGUGUUUAAUCCCCACACAAGAAAGAAAGGUAGAAAUGACCACCGGAGGAGAACGAAACGCCGGAAUGCAAAACGGACAACGGGGAAAAAGCUCGAAUGCAUGAGAUGAACAUGUAUGCAAAUGCAAUGCACGUGAUGACAUGAUAUGAGAUGCACGAAAAAGAAAACAACACACGGAGACAAAGACCCGAACCCGAGAACUAAAUAUAACUUAGCGCCGGAGACGGCAAGAGUUGGAUACAAAUAUGGAAAGUUACAUCUGGGGCGUUACAAACACUCCACCACUACGAAAAGAUCUCGUCCCGAGAUCUAGGACUGAAAGAACUCCGGGUACUCAGAACGGAGGUGAUCCUCGCGUUCCCAGGUAGCUUCACGGUCGGAAUGGUGUGACCACUUGACUUUGAGAAAUUUGAUUGACUUGUUGCGAGUCUUGCGUUCCGUCUCUUCGAGAAUAGCAACUGGGUGCUCACGAUAGGAGAGAUCUUCUUGGAGCUCAAUGUCCUCGAAGUUGACGGUGCGGUCAGGAGUCUUGAAGCACUUUCGAAGCUGAGAGACAUGGAACACGUCAUGAACAUUUGCAAAGUUUGAAGGAAGCUCGAGUUGAUAGGCGAGGUCGCCUCUCUUGCUGACAAUCUUGAAAGGUCCCACGUAUCUAGGGGCAAGCUUCCCUUUGAUACCGAAGCGACGAGUACCUUUCAUGGGAGAGACGUGGAGGUAAACAUGAUCUCCAAUCUCAAAACCCAGAUCACGAUGCUUACUAUCAUAGUAACUCUUCUGGCGAGACUGGGCUGCUUUGAGGUUAUCACGAAUGACUUUGCACAUUUCUUCUGCUUCUGUGAUUAAGUCAUUACCCAGCAGCUGACGUUCACCGGUUUCAGACCAGUUGAGAGGGGUACGGCACUUCCUGCCAUACAGAAUUUCAAAGGGGGCCUUGCCCAAACUUGCUUGAAAGCUGUUGUUGUAUGAGAAUUCAGCAUAAGGAAGACAAUCCUCCCACUUCAUGCCGAAGGAGAUCACACAAGCCCUGAGCAUAUCUUCAAGAAUUUGGUUGACACGCUCGACUUGACCGCUUGUUUGAGGAUGGAAAGCUGUGCUGAAGCGGAUGUUGGUGCCCAUAGCCUUCUGAAAAGAAUCCCAAAACUUGGAGGUAAAGAUGCUGCCACGGUCUGAAGAUAUCACUUGAGGAAUACCGUGCAGAGAGACAAUGCGAGAGGUAUAGAGUUCCGCCAAUUGAGCUGCAGUGAUUGACUCUUUGAUAGGCAGAAAAUGAGCCACUUUGGUGAGCUUGUCGAUGACGACAAAUAUAGCAUCAUUGCCACGCUUGGACUUUGGAAACCCAGUCACGAAGUCCAUUUCAAUGUGGUCAAACUUCCAUUCUGGAAUGGCAAGAGGUUGGAGGAGACCAGCUGGCCUUUGGUGUUCUGCCUUCACUCUUCUGCAGACAUCACAUUCGUUCACGAAUUGAGCGAUCUCGCGCUUCAUUCGAGUCCACCAAUAAGCUUGCUUGAGGUCCUGAUACAUCUUCGUACUACCAGGGUGGAUGGAGAGGAGAGAGUUGUGAGCCUCGUUCAUGAUCACCUUACGGAGUUCACCUUUGGGCACAACAAUUCGAUCCUCGAAGAAGAGAGUGUCCUUGUCAUCAAGUCGGAAGCACUUGUACUUGGACUGACUCUUUGCAAUACCAAUCUUCACCUUUUUCACCAUAGCAUCAAGAAGUUGGGCUUGGCGAAUCUGGUCUUCUAAGGUAGGAGAGACUUGAAGGUUGGCGAGGAAACCUUGAGGAACAACUUGCAGAUUAAGUUUGCGGAAAGCUUCACAAAGCUCGGGUUGACAAGGCUUGAGAAUCAGACUGUUGCAAUAUGCUUUUCUGCUCAAAGCGUCAGCAAUCACAUUAGCCUUGCCUGGAGUAUACUCGAUACUCGGAUUGUACUCUUGAAUCAUUUCGACCCAUCGAGUCUGCCUGAGGUUGAGAUUAGGCUGAGUGAAGAUGUACUUGAGACUCUUGUGAUCAGUGAAAAUAUCCACUUUCCUUCCCAAUAGAAGAUGUCUCCAAGUCAACAAAGCGUGCACAACUGCCGCCAACUCGAGAUCAUGAGUGGGGUAGUUCUUCUCAUUAGGUUUCAACUGGCGAGAGGUAUAAGCAACAACUUUCUUCUCUUGCAUCAGUACAGCACCGAGACCUUGGAGAGAGGCAUCACAAAAGACCUCGUACGGCUUGGUUUCAUCAGGCGGAGUCAGAACUGGAGCAGUGACCAAUUUCUCUUUCAAAGAGUUGAAAGCAAUAUCACACUCCGGAGACCAAACGUACUUGACGUGCUUCUGAAGAAGAUUUGAGAGAGGCUUGGCGAUCUUAGAAAAGUUUUCAACGAAUCUUCUGCAAUAGCUUGCGAGACCGAGGAAACUGCGGAGUUGCUUCACGUUCUGAGGAGGUUCCCAAUUCACAAUUGCAGACACCUUCUCAGGAUUCACGGAAAUGCCCUUGGCGGAGAUGAUAUGACCAAGAUAAAGAACCUCAUCUAGCCAAAAUUCACACUUGGAGAACUUGGCGUAGAACUGAUGUUCUCUGAGCUUGUCAAGAACCAAACGCAAGUGCUUGGCAUGAUCUUCCUUGUUCUUCGAGAAAACCAGAAUGUCGUCGAGAUAGACCAAAACGAAUUCAUUGGUGUAGGGGUUGAAGAUGAAGUUCAUCAUGCGAGAGAACGUCGGAGGAGCGUUGGCGAGGCCAAAAGACAUGACGGUGUAUUCAUAUGAACCAAAGCUUGUUCUGAACGCCGUCUUGGGAAUAUCUUGCUCACGAAUACGAAUCUGAUGAUAACCCAUACGGAGAUCAAGCUUGGAGAAUACUUGAGCACCCUUGAGUUGUUCGAACAGCUCAUUGAUGUUGGGAAGUGGGUAUUUGUUCUUUAUGGUCUUCUUGUUUACUGGACGGUAAUCAACACAAAGUCGACUCGAUCCAUCCUUCUUCUUCACAAAAAGAACACCACAACCCCACGGAGAAGUACUAGGCCGAAUGAGACCCAAUCUUUCUUGCUCAUCGAGUUGUUUCUUCAACUCCUUCAACUCUUCGGGGCCGAGCUUGUAGGGACGUUUGCACACAGGUUCCGUACCGGGCUCAAGUUCAAUAACAAAUUCAACCGGCCGGUGCGGAGGCAUCCCUGGAAGCUCUUCUGGAAAGACGUCUUGAUACUCACAAACAACCGGAAUCUGCGAAAUAGCAUCCAAUUCACCCUUCUCAUUGAGAGAAAACAACCGGAUGGAAUUAUCUCGAGCGGCAAAGACAAUGACCUCCUCAGACGAAUGAGUCAGUUGAAUCUGCCUGGCUGCACAAUCAAGCUGAGCUUUAUGCUUAGAGAGCCAGUCCAUCCCGAGAAUAAGAUCGAUAUCGGAAUUGCCAAGAACCACCGGAGAAGAGAGAAACUUGCAGUCGCCCAAAGUGAUUGUAACAUCCGGAACACACACUCGAGAUGUCAAGAGGCUGGCCGGAGAGUCAAUAGACAACGGUCUCGGCAACAUUUGAGUAACAAAAUCAUGCUUGGAAGCAAAAGGUCUCGAGAUGAAACAAUGCGAUGCACCAGUGUCAAAAAGAACUUUUGCAGGAAUAUCAUUAACAGGAAGGUUACCCAUGAUCACGUCUGAAGAAUCCUCUGCCUGAGCUGCAUUCACCAUAUUGACCUUGGCGUGCUUGGGAUUGUGCUUGACCACAGCUGUACUUGCCGAUCUGACAGGAGGAGGAGGAGGAAGACGCCUUUGAUUGGUACACUUGUUGGCAUAGUGACCCUUCUGUUGGCACUUAUUGCACGUGACCUCUGAAAGCGGACGGUGAUACGGAGCACUCGGUCUUGGAGCUUGAGACGAAGCCUUGUUCUGAAAGCCUGGGUUGGGUGGGUGGGAGAAACCACUGCCACCUUUGCUCUUCUGCUGAUACGGCUGACGGAACGGAGGAGGAGGAAGCCAAUACUUCUGCUGCUUGACCACUUGAGUAGAGGAAGACGGAGUAACAUCUCUGGCACGCUUCCUGGAAGCAUCACAUCUCAUCUGAGCAGCCUCUUGCUUCAGUGCCAUGUUGUAGAACUCAUCGUAUCUCAACGGCUCAAAGAGGACAAGAGCGAGCUGAAUUUCCUCACGAAGACCACCCCUGAACUGAUAGAUCAUGCUUUUCUCAUCAGGAACAUCCUGCUUGGCAAAACGGGCGAGCUUCUGGAACAACUUGUUGUAGUCAUAGACAGACAUAGAGCCUUGCUUCAGAUUGCGGAAUUCCUGACGCUUACUCUCAACCACACUUUGAGGGAUGUGAUGAGCGCGGAAAUCUUGACGGAAAUCGUCCCAAGUGAUAACACGUCCACCUCUGGAAUCCUUGUACUGCUGGAACCACUCUGCAGCCUGAUCUUUGAGCUGGAAAGAAGCGAACUUGACGAAAUCUUCAGGCCUGACGUUGCUGCAUUCAAAAUGCUUGCCCAGAUCCACUAGCCAAUCGUCAGCGUCGGUAGCCUCAACACAACCGCUGAACGUCUUUGGGCCAUUUGCGAGGAACUGGUUCAGAGUAGCAAAGUGGUGCUGAUUAUGGCCUUGAUUCCCUUGACUGCCUUGAUUGCGCUCUUGAAGGAUUUGCAUGAUCAACUGUGUGUUUGCAUUAGUAGCGGCCAUCACAGCUUGCCAUGCUUCCGGAGGAGGCGGAGGUGGAGGCGGAUUAGGAUUCGGAGUCGUGCGCGUUGGAGGAGCCAUCCUGAACAGGUUGACCACCAUUAGCACAUAGAUAGACAACAAUAUAGAAGCUGAAUCCAACGGAAUGAAAAUUGCAACAUAUAGUCUUCACAUCCGAACAAAAUGAACGAAUGCAUUCCUCUUCAAAUGAUCACAUAUCCAUAAAUUGCGAAGCCACGAAGAAUUAAGGUAGAGAAAUAAAUCAACAAGGUACGGAUCAAGAACGAAUAAUCGGUAAGAAAUCCCAAUCUCAAACCAAUAUCCGUGGAAGAAGAACUAGAGCUACUAGAAUUCCCACCUAUGAAACUCCCGAACCUUUCCGGUUAUGCAAUCAGGUGUUGGGGAUACAGGGGAAGCACAUUAUCUCACCCAAACUAGCAAAUCCUACAUCCAGCUGUAUCCAUCCUUCAACACAUAACCAGGAAAACUUCGGAAACCAUCUACCUCAACCUUCGAAAAGCAUCCGUUAUACAAGUUAUGGCGAUACUCCCGAACUCCCGCCCCAGUACUGGGUGGCGUCGAGGUUAUCUCACCAACGAACUGCAUAAAAGAGAUUUUUGAUGUCGGCGAACAUAUCUCAAGUAUACCAGAAUUGCAACGAUAAAAUUGUGACGACAACACCUCGGAGCUCAACUCCCCGGGACACUGCCACAACCCCUAAAGACAGGAGGCACCAAGAACAAUGUUCUCGUCACAAAACCAUCGGAACAAAACCAAGAUACUCGCGUGAACCUAAAAAAAAAAAA
This 26027-nucleotide long non-coding RNA is filed under the name Triticum aestivum (bread wheat). RNAcentral describes it as "long non-coding RNA (TAES_LNC007164)". The stretch from base 4339 to 4462 matches the Rfam family "MIR1120/MIR1122 microRNA precursor family". The record is from RNAcentral. Lineage: Eukaryota; Viridiplantae; Streptophyta; Magnoliopsida; Poales; Poaceae.